Molecule: ribosomal RNA, 700 nt
Filed under: uncultured bacterium
Lineage: Bacteria
Description: bacterial SSU rRNA
Rfam family: Bacterial small subunit ribosomal RNA
Source: RNAcentral
UUCGGUGUGAGUAGAGCGGCGGACGGGUGAGUAAUGCUUGGGAAUCUGCCCAAUAGUGGGGGAUAACGUGUGGAAACGCACGCUAAUACCGCAUACGUCCUACGGGAGAAAGCAGGGGAUCUUCGGACCUUGCGCUAUUGGAUGAGCCCAAGUCAGAUUAGCUAGUUGGUGGGGUAAUGGCUCACCAAGGCGACGAUCUGUAGCUGGUCUGAGAGGAUGAUCAGCCACACUGGGACUGAGACACGGCCCAGACUCCUACGGGAGGCAGCAGUGGGGAAUAUUGCACAAUGGGCGAAAGCCUGAUGCAGCCAUGCCGCGUGUGUGAAGAAGGCUCUAGGGUUGUAAAGCACUUUCAGUGGGGAGGAAAAGUUCAAAACUAAUAUUUUUGAACCUUGACGUUACCUGCAGAAGAAGCACCGGCAAACUCCGUGCCAGCAGCCGCGGUAAUACGGAGGGUGCGAGCGUUAAUCGGAAUUACUGGGCGUAAAGCGCGCGUAGGUGGUUUGAUAAGCUAGCUGUGAAAGCCCUGGGCUCAACCUGGGAACUGCAGUUAGAACUGUCUGGCUAGAGUAUAGUAGAGGGUGGCGGAAUUUCCUGUGUAGCGGUGAAAUGCGUAGAUAUAGGAAGGAACAUCAGUGGCGAAGGCGGCCACCUGGACUAAUACUGACACUGAGGUGCGAAAGCGUGGGGGAGCAAACAA